RNAcentral lists this ribosomal RNA (706 nucleotides) under Microbacterium luteolum. RNAcentral's name for it is "bacterial SSU rRNA". It matches the Rfam family "Bacterial small subunit ribosomal RNA", at positions 39 to 755 of the family's 1533-position model. The record is from RNAcentral. Lineage: Bacteria; Bacillati; Actinomycetota; Actinomycetes; Micrococcales; Microbacteriaceae.
GCGGCGUGCUUAACACAUGCAAGUCGAACGGUGAACACGGAGCUUGCUCUGUGGGAUCAGUGGCGAACGGGUGAGUAACACGUGAGCAACCUGCCCCUGACUCUGGGAUAAGCGCUGGAAACGGCGUCUAAUACUGGAUAUGUGACGUGACCGCAUGGUCUGCGUCUGGAAAGAUUUUUCGGUUGGGGAUGGGCUCGCGGCCUAUCAGCUUGUUGGUGAGGUAAUGGCUCACCAAGGCGUCGACGGGUAGCCGGCCUGAGAGGGUGACCGGCCACACUGGGACUGAGACACGGCCCAGACUCCUACGGGAGGCAGCAGUGGGGAAUAUUGCACAAUGGGCGCAAGCCUGAUGCAGCAACGCCGCGUGAGGGAUGACGGCCUUCGGGUUGUAAACCUCUUUUAGCAGGGAAGAAGCGAAAGUGACGGUACCUGCAGAAAAAGCGCCGGCUAACUACGUGCCAGCAGCCGCGGUAAUACGUAGGGCGCAAGCGUUAUCCGGAAUUAUUGGGCGUAAAGAGCUCGUAGGCGGUUUGUCGCGUCUGCUGUGAAAUCCGGAGGCUCAACCUCCGGCCUGCAGUGGGUACGGGCAGACUAGAGUGCGGUAGGGGAGAUUGGAAUUCCUGGUGUAGCGGUGGAAUGCGCAGAUAUCAGGAGGAACACCGAUGGCGAAGGCAGAUCUCUGGGCCGUAACUGACGCUGAGGAGCG